Molecule: small RNA, 36 nt
Filed under: Arabidopsis thaliana (thale cress)
Lineage: Eukaryota; Viridiplantae; Streptophyta; Magnoliopsida; Brassicales; Brassicaceae
Description: ATSL135510
Source: RNAcentral
UGGAAAAAGAAGAACAAGAAGAAGAUAGAUUAACAG